This 497-nucleotide ribosomal RNA is filed under the name uncultured bacterium. Its description in RNAcentral is "partial 16S ribosomal RNA". It matches the Rfam family "Bacterial small subunit ribosomal RNA", at positions 28 to 507 of the family's 1533-position model. The record is from RNAcentral.
GAUGAACGCUGGCGGCGUGCCUAAUACAUGCAAGUCGAGCGAACAGAUGAGGAGCUUGCUCCUCUGACGUUAGCGGCGGACGGGUGAGUAACACGUGGAUAACCUACCUAUAAGACUGGGAUAACUUCGGGAAACCGGAGCUAAUACCGGAUAAUAUAUUGAACCGCAUGGUUCAAUAGUGAAAGACGGUUUUGCUGUCACUUAUAGAUGGAUCCGCGCCGCAUUAGCUAGUUGGUAAGGUAACGGCUUACCAAGGCAACGAUGCGUAGCCGACCUGAGGGGGUGAUCGGCCACACUGGAACUGAGACAGGGUCCAGACUCCUACGGGAGGCAGCAGUAGGGAAUCUUCCGCAAUGGGCGAAAGCCUGACGGAGCAACGCCGCGUGAGUGAUGAAGGUCUUCGGAUCGUAAAACUCUGUUAUUAGGGAAGAACAAAUGUGUAAGUAACUAUGCACGUCUUGACGGUACCUAAUCAGAAAGCCACGGCUAACUACGUG